GCCACCGUCGAUGUCCGUUUUCGUCAAAUUUCUGCAGUCAAAGCUGAAUUUUGAAGAAACUGAGCCUUUAUUUCAAAAUCGGAAAAUUUCAGUCUGUAGAUUAGAGUAUUGUGAUAUUUUGAGCCUUUGAUCAUCAAAGUGCAUGGUGUUGUGGUUGAGAAAGUACUGUUUCCCCACAAGAAAUCUCGGCCCUCAGCCGACGAUCCUCUCAGUUGACGGUAAAUUUAAAGAAUCAGAACACUUAAUUUCAAAAUCCAAGGAUUUCAGUCUGUAGUUAAGACUUUUUUCUCUCAUUCAAGUCCAAAAACUUGCAAUUCCAUUGCGAAUCGACGAAGAAAGUACUGUAUCCGACUAGCCGGAUAACAAGCUUUUUCAAUCAGUCAGUCGUUUAAAAUUAAUUGCCCGCCACAACAAAGGUUUGUUGACAUUUUAGGUUAUGUGUCCGGUCUUUAUCAUGGUCAAAAGCUCAUAAGCUCGCAUAGUGAAUUUCAAAUUUAUUGCAAUCAUUUUGAUCGUGUCGUAUGAACUAAAAGAAGGAACAAGUGUGCUAGUAUUCUGUGUUUAUUGUGAUAAUUUUUAUUUUGCCUUCAAUUUAUCUUCUGGAGAAUCGUUCAGUGCUGUACCAAAAUUGGCUCUUGCUGGGUUGCGGAGCUCUCUUUCAUCAAGGUCCCACAUUUUACCUUAACACUGGUUUCUGGUGUCUAUACCUUGCCGGACACACCAAUCAUAUUGCUGUAUCUCACUCCAGAUGGAACGCUCCUGAACACUUUUAAAACGAAAGGCUACUCCUUGCAAUACCUUCUCUCUAAAUCUGACAGUGUGAUGAUAGAUGAUUUCGCCGCUUCUUUUGUGAAGCAGUCAGAUGCACACUCUCCGUCAUAGCGAAACAAAAGUCUAUCAUUGGAUUCGUGCGACAAGCUAUGCGACAAGCUCUGAUUAAAUGCCUGUAAGUUCCAUAAUACUUAGAAUCCUUUAUACAAAAAUCAUGGUGAAUGGUGAUGCCAUCUUAGCAGUGUUCGAAACUCACCUUCGAGUUUUAGGAGCCAUGUGGCGCAUCAAGCCCGAUUUUUAGGCGCCAUUAA
Molecule: long non-coding RNA, 1082 nt
Filed under: Bemisia tabaci
Lineage: Eukaryota; Metazoa; Arthropoda; Insecta; Hemiptera; Aleyrodidae
Description: lncRNA ENSSSA1UGG011793
Source: RNAcentral